UGCUGGAGGUAUCAGAAGUGCGAAUGCUGACAUAAGUAACGAUAAAGCGGGUGAAAAGCCCGCUCGCCGGAAGACCAAGGGUUCCUGUUCAACGUUAAUCGGAGCAGGGUGAGUCGACCCCUAAGGCGAGGCCGAAAGGCGUAGUCGAUGGGAAACAGGUUAAUAUUCCUGUACUCGGUGUUACUGCGAAGGGGGGACGGAGAAGGCUAUAUCAGCCGGGCGACGGUUGUCCC
RNAcentral lists this ribosomal RNA (233 nucleotides) under Pantoea agglomerans. Its description in RNAcentral is "partial 23S ribosomal RNA". It matches the Rfam family "Bacterial large subunit ribosomal RNA", at positions 1271 to 1508 of the family's 2925-position model. The record is from RNAcentral. Lineage: Bacteria; Pseudomonadati; Pseudomonadota; Gammaproteobacteria; Enterobacterales; Erwiniaceae.